Molecule: non-coding RNA, 277 nt
Organism: Paramuricea clavata
Lineage: Eukaryota; Metazoa; Cnidaria; Anthozoa; Malacalcyonacea; Plexauridae
Source: the annotation of a GenBank genome assembly
UAGUUUGCUGACGUGCACCGUCAUCAUUCACGCGCGCGUUCAAAAUUUCCCGGCCAAAAUUUCUCGCGAUGGCGGCAUUUCGCGAAUAUCUCGGGUCUUUUGUUUAAUGUUAUAUGCUUGUCUGCAUCCAUUAUGCAGAGUUUUUCUUCUGUGCAGAGAUUGCAACGCUUUGCACCGGAUGAGUAUGCGCCUGCCCGCUUCAGAAUUGACCAUUUUAGGAUGUAAUCCCUGAUUUUGAACGCGCGCGCGAAUGAUGACGGUGCACGUCAGCAAACUA